GAUGAACGCUGGCGGCGUGCCUAAUACAUGCAAGUCGAGCGAACGGACGAGAAGCUUGCUUCUCUGAUGUUAGCGGCGGACGGGUGAGUAACACGUGGAUAACCUACCUAUAAGACUGGGAUAACUUCGGGAAACCGGAGCUAAUACCGGAUAAUAUUUUGAACCGCAUGGUUCAAAAGUGAAAGACGGUCUUGCUGUCACUUAUAGAUGGAUCAGCGCUGCAUUAGCUAGUUGGUAAGGUAACGGCUUACCAAGGCAACGAUGCAUAGCCGACCCGAGAGGGUGAAUGGCCACACUGGAACUGAGACACGUCCCAGACUCCGACGGGGGGCAGCAGUAGGGAAUCUUCCGCAAUGCGCGAAAGCCUGACGGAGCAACGCCGCGUGAGGGAUGAAGGUCUUCGGAUCGUAAAACUCUGUUAUUAGGGAAGAACAUAUGUGUAAGUAACUGUGCACAUCUUGACGGUACCUAAUCAGAAAGCCACGGCUAACUACGUG
This 497-nucleotide ribosomal RNA is filed under the name uncultured bacterium. RNAcentral describes it as "partial 16S ribosomal RNA". It matches the Rfam family "Bacterial small subunit ribosomal RNA", at positions 28 to 507 of the family's 1533-position model. The record is from RNAcentral.